This 403-nucleotide ribosomal RNA is filed under the name Fusobacteriota bacterium. RNAcentral describes it as "Fusobacteria bacterium partial 16S ribosomal RNA". It matches the Rfam family "Bacterial small subunit ribosomal RNA", at positions 355 to 776 of the family's 1533-position model. The record is from RNAcentral. Lineage: Bacteria; Fusobacteriati; Fusobacteriota.
UGGGGAAUUUUGCACAAUGGAGGAAACUCUGAUGCAGCGACGCCGCGUGAGUGAUGAAGAUCUUCGGAUUGUAAAACUCUGUCCUUAGUGAAGAUAAUGACAGUAACUAAGAAGCAAGCCCUGGCUAAAUACGUGCCAGCAGCCGCGGUAAUACGUAUGGGGCAAGCGUUGUCCGGAAUUAUUGGGCGUAAAGGGUACGUAGGCGGUUUAAUAAGUCCUAAUUAAAAGGCUAUGGCUCAACCAUAGUAUGGUUAGGAAACUGUUGAACUUGAGUAGAUGAGGGGAAAGUGGAAUUCCAUGUGUAGCGGUGAAAUGCGUAGAUAUAUGGAGGAACACCAAUGGCGAAGGCGACUUUCUGGAAUCAAACUGACGCUGAGGUACGAAGGCGUGGGGAGCAAACAGG